This 459-nucleotide long non-coding RNA is filed under the name Homo sapiens (human). RNAcentral describes it as "non-protein coding lnc-GVQW2-1:4". Lineage: Eukaryota; Metazoa; Chordata; Mammalia; Primates; Hominidae. The record is from RNAcentral.
AUUGCUUCCCCUGUCCUUCCUUUAGCUGUAACUCCGGCGGGCGUGUUGGGUGUGUCGUUUUAGGCUCUGUGACCCAGGAGCAAGACGCAAUAAGCGGGUGCAGUGGAGGUAGAAACGGGAAAUGCAGUACCCUUUCCGGAAGCUACUCCGCCCCUCGACAGAGUCUUGCUGUGUCGCCCAAGCUAGAGUGCAGUGGUGUCAUCUGGGCUCAUUGCAACCUCCGCUUCCUGGAUUCAAGCAAUUCUCAUGCCACAGCCUCCCAAGUAGCUGGGACUACAGGUGCGCACCACCAUGCCUGACUAAUUUUUGUAUUUUUAGUAGAGACAGGGUUUCACCAUGCUGGCCAGGCUGGUCUCGAACUCCUGACCUCAAGUGAUCCACCUGCCUCAGCCUCCGAAAGUGCUGGGAUUGCAGGUGUGAGCCACCAUGUCCGCCCAUUGAAAAGCUCUUUAAAUAUUG